GACGAACGCUGGCGGCGUGCUUAACACAUGCAAGUCGAACGGAAAGGCCCUGCUUUUGUGGGGUGCUCGAGUGGCGAACGGGUGAGUAACACGUGAGUAACCUGCCCUUGACUUUGGGAUAACUUCAGGAAACUGGGGCUAAUACCGGAUAGGAGCUCCUGCUGCGUGGUGGGGGUUGGAAAGUUUCGGCGGUUGGGGAUGGACUCGCGGCUUAUCAGCUUGUUGGUGGGGUAGUGGCUUACCAAGGCUUUGACGGGUAGCCGGCCUGAGAGGGUGACCGGCCACAUUGGGACUGAGAUACGGCCCAGACUCCUACGGGAGGCAGCAGUGGGGAAUAUUGCACAAUGGGCGGAAGCCUGAUGCAGCAACGCCGCGUGCGGGAUGACGGCCUCCGGGUUGUAAACCGCUUUCGCCUGUGACGAAGCGUGAGUGACGGUAAUGGGUAAAGAAGCACCGGCUAACUACGUGCCAGCAGCCGCGGUGAUACGUAGGGUGCGAGCGUUGUCCGGAUUUAUUGGGCGUAAAGGGCUCGUAGGUGGUUGAUCGCGUCGGAAGUGUAAUCUUGGGGCUUAACCCUGAGCGUGCUUUCGAUACGGGUUGACUUGAGGAAGGUAGGGGAGAAUGGAAUUCCUGGUGGAGCGGUGGAAUGCGCAGAUAUCAGGAGGAACACCAGUGGCGAAGGCGGUUCUCUGGGCCUUUCCUGACGCUGAGGAGCGAAAGCGUGGGGAGCGAACAGGCUUAGAUACCCUGGUAGUCCACGCUGUAAACGGUGGGUACUAGGUGUGGGGUCCAUUCCACGGGUUCCGUGCCGUAGCUAACGCCUUAAGUACCCCGCCUGGGGAGUACGGCCGCAAGGCUAAAACUCAAAGGAAUUGACGGGGCCCCGCACAAGCGGCGGAGCAUGCGGAUUAAUUCGAUGCAACGCGUAGAACCUUACCUGGGUUUGACAUGGAUCGGGAGUGCUCAGAGAUGGGUGUGCCUCUUUUGGGGUCGGUUCACAGGUGGUGCAUGGCUGUCGUCAGCUCGUGUCGUGAGAUGUUGGGUUAAGUCCCGCAACGAGCGCAACCCUUGUUCACUGUUGCCAGCACGUUAUGGUGGGGACUCAGUGGAGACCGCCGGGGUCAACUCGGAGGAAGGUGGGGAUGACGUCAAGUCAUCGUGCCCCUUAUGUCCAGGGCUUCACGCAUGCUACAAUGGCUGGUACAGAGAGUGGCGAGCCUGUGAGGAUGAGCGAAUCUCGGAAAGCCGGUCUCAGUUCGGAUUGGGGUCUGCAACUCGACCUCAUGAAGUCGGAGUCGCUAGUAAUCGCAGAUCAGCAACGCUGCGGUGAAUACGUUCCCGGGGCU
RNAcentral lists this ribosomal RNA (1346 nucleotides) under uncultured bacterium. RNAcentral's name for it is "partial 16S ribosomal RNA". It matches the Rfam family "Bacterial small subunit ribosomal RNA", at positions 28 to 1381 of the family's 1533-position model. The record is from RNAcentral.